AUUGAACGCUGGCGGCAUGCCUAACACAUGCAAGUCGAACGGUAACAGGAAGAAGCUUGCUUCUUUGCUGACGAGUGGCGGACGGGUGAGUAAUGUCUGGGAAACUGCCUGAUGGAGGGGGAUAACUACUGGAAACGGUAGCUAAUACCGCAUAACGUCGCAAGACCAAAAAGGGGGACCUUCGGGCCUCUUGCCAUCGGAUGUGCCCAGAUGGGAUUAGCUAGUAGGUGGGGUAACGGCUCACCUAGGCGACGAUCCCUAGCUGGUCUGAGAGGAUGACCAGCCACACUGGAACUGAGACACGGUCCAGACUCCUACGGGAGGCAGCAGUGGGGAAUAUUGCACAAUGGGCGCAAGCCUGAUGCAGCCAUGCCGCGUGUAUGAAGAAGGCCUUCGGGUUGUAAAGUACUUUCAGCGGGGAGGAAGGGAGUAAAGUUAAUACCUUUGCUCAUUGACGUUACCCGCAGAAGAAGCACCGGCUAACUCCGU
Molecule: ribosomal RNA, 489 nt
Filed under: uncultured bacterium
Lineage: Bacteria
Description: partial 16S ribosomal RNA
Rfam family: Bacterial small subunit ribosomal RNA
Source: RNAcentral